This is a long non-coding RNA of Nicotiana tabacum (common tobacco), 2848 nucleotides long. RefSeq lists it as uncharacterized. The record is from RefSeq and is a predicted model, not a curated record. Lineage: Eukaryota; Viridiplantae; Streptophyta; Magnoliopsida; Solanales; Solanaceae.
AAUCACCGCUCUCUACGAGCUCUUCUUUGGCUUCUGUCUUCUCACUCUUCUUGUUCUUAUCGGAACCAAGGCAGACAGCUCUUUGGCAGAUGCAGGUUGCUAGGUUCUCUUUUUUCCAAAGGUUAACACCCAGUUGUCUGUAUCAGCAAUAUCAGAAAAGCUCCACGCUCUGUCAGUUUCCCAGUUUCAAAACCCUUUAUACCAACAAUCUGUUUGAGAUUUUACAGGUCCUCUUUGUUCUCAAUUUUACGGUUUAUAGAUUUUACAGUUUCUUCAGGUUACGGGUUGCGGCUAAGACAGACCCACACAGAGAAGGGUGAUUGCUCGAGCACCCAUUGACUUGAAAUUCUAGGUCCGCCACUGGUCCGAAUCUUGAAUCUUUUUGUGCUGAUUUUUUCUUCCACUGGAAACAUGAGGUAACUCCCGAAGUUUGAAUUCAAUUCAAUCAUAGAACAAAAUAGUGCUCCAUUAUAGCACCUAUUCCUACUCUCUUAGCUUUCUUUUAAUUGUCUCUUGCAAAAUCCUGCAACUUGAGUCAAUGAGCAUCGUAUAUUAGUUCUCUGGUUCCUAAUUUUUUCUUCUUUUAUACUUUAUUAUCUUUCAAAGAAAAGCUUUGUGAAAAAAUGCACGUCUUUAAACUGUAAAGUUAUCUAUUUGUUGUUUUACAUGAUCAUCUGAUACUUGGGUCGCACAAAUGAAUGGUAGAAAUUAAACAAUUUAUCAGCUAUAAAAAAUUUAUCAGGAAUUCGCAGAUAUAUGACCAAUUUGUAAGUCCUUUUAUUUCUCCCAGUGAUUUUUUCCUUCCUGAGUGAGAACUAUACAAUUUAUGAUAAAAUUGUAUGCAUAGAAACACGAUUAUUUACAUCUGUUGCUAAUGCUAUUCAAUAUUGAUAAUUCUCUGUAUUGCUUGGCUAAUGUGUUGAGUCCAUUUUCAUCAGAUGGGGAGUGACUGUUUCGUUUAUCUUAUCGAUCUAAGAUUUCUCAAAGUUCUCUAUCUCCAAACAGUUCUCCUCUUGCUCCUUUGUUCCUAAUAUUGCUACUGGAGUUCUCUCUGGAUUAUUAUUUUCUGGUGGAUAUUCUUCUUUUUAUUAUUUGUUUCUUCUAUCAUCUGUUUUAUCUUCGAUGACAUGUUAGAAAUUUGUGUUUUCUUAUGAGGUCUUCGGGCUUUUGGGCACACAAACUUUAACAUGCCAAGAGAUUUUGUAACGUAGGUGUUUGAGAAAUUUAUUCGAAGUAGGCUUUCUAUUAUAUUUCUUUUUCAUCUCACUGCUUUCUCUAUUCUCAGGUAUUAUUUUAUGGUUCCAUUUUGGCAAAGAUUAUGUUGUAAAAACUAGCUUUGAGCAUUACAUAGAGACUGAAGUAUUACUUUCUCUCAAUGCCAAAACGCGUUAAAUCUCCAUCCGCCAAGUUUUUUAUCUUUGUGUUCUUCAGUUGUUGCUUCGAUUUUCUGUGCCUAUCGAUAUUUGAUUUUCUUUCACCGUUCAUUAAUGAUUUAAGGUGAGCUUUUUGCUUGUUCUUUUUGUUUCUUUUCUCCAGUUAUUUUUGUUUUUCUUAUGAUUCUAGAUGCGUCUUUGUCUCUACUGAUAAAAUUUGACAAUAGUAAUUUUUCGAAGCUCUUCAAAAUAUGGAGGUACACUAUAAGAGAGAAACAAAGAGAAGUUUUCUUUUUUACAUACAAAAGAAGUUACUGAAACAGUUUGGAUCCAUGCUUGUGGAAACUGGGAAUCUAAUGUGACCUCUUUGUCACACAGGGUAAUUCAACAGUUUCAUUUCUUUUGGAUGAAUCGCUGAUCUUUAUUUUGGUUAGCUUGACUGCAGGCAGAGAGACUCUUUACCGGAAAUACUGUAAAAUAAAAUUGUAUAUUUAGGUAUCCCAUGUAAUUAGUUAGACUUCUAAUUUUUUCUUAAUAUGAAUCACAUAAUAUUUAGGAGGCGCUUCAUUAUUGUUCAGGGCUCCUCAAAUAAGGCCUGCCAAUUAAUGUUUACACUGUUUGUAAACUUCUAAAUUUCCUUUAAAUAUUUUCUCUUCAUUUGAUACGUCUGACUUUGACAGUUAAUACCAUGCUUUACUUAUUAGGAGAUUGGUUACUGUUGUGAUAUUUUCGCUUGGCUUGGAAAUUUGUAUUUAAUUUUAAUAUGCCCAGUAGCUUUUAGUUGAGUUUGAAGUAUUCACCAAGAUGACAAAAGGAACAAAACAAAUAUGCAUUUGAAGAGGUGCUGAAAUCCACCCAGGUAAACUUGUUUUAUGUGUCUUAAAAGCCUGUAUGUGUUACCAAGCUCUUCUUUUUAUCAGUUUGAGAUUGUGUAUGUUGUUGCCAAAUUUUUGUUUGACCACUUUUGGGUGAGUUCAAUUUAUACUGUAUUAUUUUUAUUUUUCCCCUUCUGCUUCAAACUAUUUGGUCCUGAAGAAAUUUGCGGUGGUCAUUUUUUAUCUAUAUUUCGGGUUUAUCGUUUGCACUACAGAGGUAAUGAUGGAACUACUGAAAGAGGUUGUGACAGUAGUUGCCAAAGGAGUUGACGAAGGUGAGACUUGCUGGUCACCACGCGCUGACCCGCCAUCGAUGGUCAUUUUGCUAACUGGAAAGUUAUUUUGGAUAAUAACAUUGUUUUUAUUUGGCAGUUAGUGUUGAAUUGAGCAAGGGAGAGAUGGAGUAGUCCAACCGGUUCAAACAACUGCUAGAAUGUACCAAAACAUCAUUUUAUACAUCUCUAAAGACUUUUCAAGGCAUGUGAUGAUAACUUAUGAUAAGGUAGUUGUUAUGGUGCAAUUGAUUGUCUUUAUUCAGAGACAGUGAAUUAUUCUGUUAAAUUCUCUUAUGAUGAAGGUUUGUCAGUUGUGACUUCCUUA